GCAAACUUGGUCAUUUAGAGGAAGUAAAAGUCGUAACAAGGUUUCCGUAGGUGAACCUGCGGAAGGAUCAUCAAUGAAUUUCCAAAUUUCAUUUGGCUUUGGUGGUGUUGGACUCCUUCUGGCAUUUUGCUGGCAAGGGUUAAUGCCCAGCCCCCAUUGCCUUACCAACCAUCAGUCUCUGUCUAGCCAAGGUGUCUCGAGAUGCUUUUGUGGCAUCAUCCCCGAGCCCUUUGCGAUGGACUUUGACUUUUUGAGUAGUGUAGUUUGGGCGGGUUCGCUUUACGGCGCAACCCCUCAUACUCGUUACUGUGGGCAACAAACUAAAUUAAAAUACAACUUUUAACGAUGGAUCUCUUGGCUCCCGCAUCGAUGAAGAACGCAGC
This 383-nucleotide unclassified non-coding RNA is filed under the name uncultured fungus. Its description in RNAcentral is "partial contains small subunit ribosomal RNA, internal transcribed spacer 1, and 5.8S ribosomal RNA". The stretch from base 1 to 73 matches the Rfam family "Eukaryotic small subunit ribosomal RNA", at positions 1759 to 1831 of the family's 1831-position model. Lineage: Eukaryota; Fungi. The record is from RNAcentral.